RNAcentral lists this long non-coding RNA (681 nucleotides) under Daucus carota (carrot). Its description in RNAcentral is "long non-coding RNA (DCAR_LNC001349)". Lineage: Eukaryota; Viridiplantae; Streptophyta; Magnoliopsida; Apiales; Apiaceae. The record is from RNAcentral.
GGUGUGUAUAUAUUACUACUCGCUCAGUCCCCUCGUUUCCUUACGGUUAUUAUUUUGAGAUGUCCCUCUCAUUUUUUUACGUUACUAUAAAUAGUAAGUUUUUUCCAUCAUUACACCCACUAUCUUCCACAACUAUCUCAUAUUUAACAAUAAAACUACUAUUACACCCACUACUUUCCUCCACAAUCUCAAAUCUAUUAUUAAAUAUUAAUAGGUCCCACCAUUUUACACACUUUUCAUCAAACUUUACUCAUUUUUUAUACAUUGUCUUGGUCUCCGUGUCCUCCAAUGUAAACAAUUGAGGGGGACGGAGGGAGUACUACUAUAUUUGGUUCAUAUAACAAGUUUCGACACCAGUAUAUCUAAAAACACGCAUUGUGUUGACAGGAGAAUUGAAUCAGAUGAAGAAUGUAUAUGAUAUUUAAUACGUACAGCUCCAACAUGAGCCUGCAAGUUCAUAAGACAAAGACGGGGAUGAUGGUGGUAUGGGUGACCCAUGCGCUUAUUGAUGAAUGAAUAGUCUGGCGUUUUCAAUCUUUUGGCACCACUAUGCUGUUCCAUCCACCACUAUGCAAUGCAUACAGGAUAAGGCUGCUUAUAUACUUUAAAUUUGGUAGCAUGCUUGCUUUUGGGAUAUCACCACAUAGAAUUAGACAGCCCUAACAUUAUAGGAGUACAUAG